Molecule: ribosomal RNA, 520 nt
Filed under: Megaselia mithridatesi
Lineage: Eukaryota; Metazoa; Arthropoda; Insecta; Diptera; Phoridae
Description: partial 16S ribosomal RNA
Rfam family: Bacterial large subunit ribosomal RNA (bases 388-520)
Source: RNAcentral
UGUCUUUUAGAAUUUAAUUUAAAGUCUAACCUGCCCACUGAAAAUUUUAAAUGGCCGCAGUAUCCUAACUGUGCAAAGGUAGCAUAAUCAUUAGUCUUUUAAUUGAAGGCUGGAAUGAAUGGUUGGAUGAAAUAUUAACUGUUUCAUAUAAAUUUAUAAUAGAAUUUUAUUUUUUAGUCAAAAAGCUAAAAUUUAUUUAAAAGACGAGAAGACCCUAUAAAUCUUUAUAUUUAGUAUAUUUUAAUUAUUUAGAUAAUUUAAAUUAUUAUAUUUUUAAAUAUUUUAUUGGGGUGAUAUUAAAAUUUAAUAAACUUUUAAUUUAUAGUGUACAUAAAUUAAUGAAUUUUUGAUCCAUUUAUUAUGAUUAUAAAAUUAAGUUACUUUAGGGAUAACAGCGUAAUUUUUUUAGAGAGUUCAUAUUGAUAAAAAAGAUUGCGACCUCGAUGUUGGAUUAAGAUAUAGUUUUAGGUGCAGCAGCUUAAACUUAAAGUCUGUUCGACUUUUAAAUUCUUACAUGAUC